This 253-nucleotide ribosomal RNA is filed under the name uncultured bacterium. RNAcentral's name for it is "partial 16S ribosomal RNA". It matches the Rfam family "Bacterial small subunit ribosomal RNA", at positions 524 to 776 of the family's 1533-position model. The record is from RNAcentral.
UACGUAGGUGGCGAGCGUUGUCCGGAUUUACUGGGCGUAAAGAGCGCGCAGGCGGUCGUUCAAGUCGAGUGUGAAAGCCCCCGGCUCAACUGGGGAGGGUCACUCGAUACUGAUCGACUUGAAGGCAGGAGAGGGAAGCGGAAUUCCCGGUGUAGUGGUGAAAUGCGUAGAUAUCGGGAGGAACACCAGUGGCGAAGGCGGCUUCCUGGCCUGUUCUUGACGCUGAGGCGCGAAAGCCAGGGGAGCAAACGGG